Molecule: unclassified non-coding RNA, 305 nt
Filed under: plant metagenome
Description: partial contains 5.8S ribosomal RNA, internal transcribed spacer 2, and large subunit ribosomal RNA
Rfam family: 5.8S ribosomal RNA (bases 1-105)
Source: RNAcentral
GAAAUGCGAUAAGUAAUGUGAAUUGCAGAAUUCAGUGAAUCAUCGAAUCUUUGAACGCACAUUGCGCCCGCCGGUAUUCUGGCGGGCAUGCCUGUUCGAGCGUCAUUUCAACCAUCAAGCCCCCGGCUUGUGUUGGGGACCUGCGGCUGCCCGCAGGCCCUGAAAAACAGUGGCGGGCUCGCUGUCACACCGAGCGUAGUAGCAUACAUUCUCGCUCAGGGCGUGCUGCGGGUCCCGGCCGUUAAACGACCUUCAUAACCCAAGGUUGACCUCGGAUCAGGUAGGAAGACCCGCUGAACUUAAGC